GACGAACGCUGGCGGCGCGCCUAACACAUGCAAGUCGAACGGAGCUGAGAGAAGCUUGCUUUUCUUAGCUUAGUGGCGAACGGGUGAGUAACGCGUGAGUAACCUGCCCUGGAGUGGGGGACAACAGUUGGAAACGACUGCUAAUACCGCAUAAGCCCACGAUCCGGCAUCGGAUUGAGGGAAAAGGAUUUAUUCGCUUCAGGAUGGACUCGCGUCCAAUUAGCUAGUUGGUGAGGUAACGGCCCACCAAGGCGACGAUUGGUAGCCGGACUGAGAGGUUGAACGGCCACAUUGGGACUGAGACACGGCCCAGACUCCUACGGGAGGCAGCAGUGGGGGAUAUUGCACAAUGGGGGAGACCCUGAUGCAGCGACGCCGCGUGGAGGAAGAAGGUUUUCGGAUUGUAAACUCCUGUCGUUAGGGACGAUAAUGACGGUACCUAACAAGAAAGCACCGGCUAACUACGUG
This 468-nucleotide ribosomal RNA is filed under the name uncultured bacterium. RNAcentral describes it as "partial 16S ribosomal RNA". It matches the Rfam family "Bacterial small subunit ribosomal RNA", at positions 28 to 507 of the family's 1533-position model. The record is from RNAcentral.